CCGAGGAAAAGAAAUCAACCGAGAUUCCCCCAGUAGCGGCGAGCGAACGGGGAGCAGCCCAGAGCCUGAAUCAGUGUGUGUGUUAGUGGAAGCGUCUGGAAAGGCGCGCGAUACAGGGUGACAGCCCCGUACACAAAAAUGCACAUGCUGUGAGCUCGAUGAGUAGGGCGGGACACGUGGUAUCCUGUCUGAAUAUGGGGGGACCAUCCUCCAAGGCUAAAUACUCCUGACUGACCGAUAGUGAACCAGUACCGUGAGGGAAAGGCGAAAAGAACCCCGGCGAGGGGAGUGAAAAAGAACCUGAAACCGUGUACGUACAAGCAGUGGGAGCACGCUUCGGCGUGUGACUGCGUACCUUUUGUAUAAUGGGUCAGCGACUUAUAUUCUGUAGCAAGGUUAACCGAAUAGGGGAGCCGAAGGGAAACCGAGUCUUAACUGGGCGUUAAGUUGCAGGGUAUAGACCCGAAACCCGGUGAUCUAGCCAUGGGCAGGUUGAAGGUUGGGUAACACUAACUGGAGGACCGAACCGACUAAUGUUGAAAAAUUAGCGGAUGACUUGUGGCUGGGGGUGAAAGGCCAAUCAAACCGGGAGAUAGCUGGUUCUCCCCGAAAGCUAUUUAGGUAGCGCCUCGUGAAUUCAUCUCCGGGGGUAGAGCACUGUUUCGGCAAGGGGGUCAUCCCGACUUACCAACCCGAUGCAAACUGCGAAUACCGGAGAAUGUUAUCACGGGAGACACACGGCGGGUGCUAACGUCCGUCGUGAAGAGGGAAACAACCCAGACCGCCAGCUAAGGUCCCAAAGUCAUGGUUAAGUGGGAAACGAUGUGGGAAGGCCCAGACAGCCAGGAUGUUGGCUUAGAAGCAGCCAUCAUUUAAAGAAAGCGUAAUAGCUCACUGGUCGAGUCGGCCUGCGCGGAAGAUGUAACGGGGCUAAACCAUGCACCGAAGCUGCGGCAGCGACACUAUGUGUUGUUGGGUAGGGGAGCGUUCUGUAAGCCUGUGAAGGUGUACUGUGAGGUAUGCUGGAGGUAUCAGAAGUGCGAAUGCUGACAUAAGUAACGAUAAAGCGGGUGAAAAGCCCGCUCGCCGGAAGACCAAGGGUUCCUGUCCAACGUUAAUCGGGGCAGGGUGAGUCGACCCCUAAGGCGAGGCCGAAAGGCGUAGUCGAUGGGAAACAGGUUAAUAUUCCUGUACUUGGUGUUACUGCGAAGGGGGGACGGAGAAGGCUAUGUUGGCCGGGCGACGGUUGUCCCGGUUUAAGCGUGUAGGCUGGUUUUCCAGGCAAAUCCGGAAAAUCAAGGCUGAGGCGUGAUGACGAGGCACUACGGUGCUGAAGCAACAAAUGCCCUGCUUCCAGGAAAAGCCUCUAAGCAUCAGGUAACAUCAAAUCGUACCCCAAACCGACACAGGUGGUCAGGUAGAGAAUACCAAGGCGCUUGAGAGAACUCGGGUGAAGGAACUAGGCAAAAUGGUGCCGUAACUUCGGGAGAAGGCACGCUGAUAUGUAGGUGAAGCGACUUGCUCGUGGA
RNAcentral lists this ribosomal RNA (1529 nucleotides) under Escherichia coli. RNAcentral describes it as "partial 23S ribosomal RNA". It matches the Rfam family "Bacterial large subunit ribosomal RNA", at positions 211 to 1780 of the family's 2925-position model. Lineage: Bacteria; Pseudomonadati; Pseudomonadota; Gammaproteobacteria; Enterobacterales; Enterobacteriaceae. The record is from RNAcentral.